RNAcentral lists this ribosomal RNA (497 nucleotides) under uncultured bacterium. RNAcentral describes it as "partial 16S ribosomal RNA". It matches the Rfam family "Bacterial small subunit ribosomal RNA", at positions 28 to 507 of the family's 1533-position model. The record is from RNAcentral.
GAUGAACGCUGGCGGCGUGCCUAAUACAUGCAAGUCGAGCGAACAGACCAGGAGCUUGCGCCUCUGACGUUAGAGGCGGACGGGAGAGUAACACGUGGAUAACCUAACUAUAAGACUGGGAUAAUUUCGGGAAACCGGAGCUAAUACCGGAUAAUAUAUUGAACUGAAAGGUUCAAUAGUGAAAGACGGUUUUGCUGUCACUUAUAGAUGGAUCAGCGUCUCAUUAGCUAGUUGGUAAGGUCACUGCUUACCAAGGCAACGAUGCGUAGCCGACCUGAAAGCGUCGUCGGGCAGCCUGUACCUGAGACACGGCCCAGACACCUACGGUGAGCCGCAGUACGGACUCUUCCGCGAGGCGCCAGUGCCUGACGGAGCAACGCCGCGUGAAGGAUGACGGUCUUCUGAUCGGUGAACUCUGUUAUUAUUAAGGAUGAAAAGUGUUAGUAACUAUGCCCGUCAUGACGGUACCUAAACAGGAAGCCCCGGCUAACUUCGUG